CACAGGAGAACGCGAGACGACCAGAAGCUAGGGUUCUCUCCGCCGCCGCGCACAAACCCUCCGGUCCGGCAACCCUCGCGUCCCUCUCCUAUCCCCAGUUGCCGUUGUAGUCCCCUGCCACCGGUACGGCGCGCGAGGGCGAGAGCCACGCGAAGCGCCAGGCCGGCGAAGGCGCGGGGGAGGAGGAAAAAGAGGAAGCGAGAGGGCGGCCGCGGCGGAAGGAGAUGACCAUCUGAUGUCUCGGUGGGGUAGCCCAACCCACCACUCCUCCUGCGGCGACGACGGCAGAGAGCAGAAGACAAUCUGACAACGCUGCCGCAGAUGAUGAAAUUGGAGAAGCGGUCUUGGUGAUAAGGCCGGUGGACUGAGGAACUACGGAUGUGGUGGCGGAGGACGUAGAGACUACUCAGCCUUGGUCCAGAAUUUUGGCAGAUCACUCAGAGACGGGUGCAUUCCUAUCUCGUCCUUCUCGAUUGAACUAUUUGUCUGUCAUCCCCUUCUCCGAUUGAAGUACAUCAUGCUAGAUACCACAGAGGUUAGUUGGUCUAACUAUAUUUACUAGCUAUUUUAAUCAUGUUACAGAAGCCUCGCUGAACUCCCUUGGUGUUGGUUCUUCUUGAAGUAAAGAAUUUACGUCUAGACUUGGCAUAAUUCAGUUCCUGGAUGAAAAAAAGUUGCAUGUCCUUUGAGUCUGAAAACCAUACUGGGCCUUGGAGCAUGAUGCGGAAAAUUGCAGGUAUUUCCUGCACUUCCUGCACAUGAAGGCGGAUGAUUUUUUUUGGAUGCCACUAUCGUCAGACACAUCGUGUUUAUCAGUGAGUAACUGGUACAAAGUUCAGAUUAUCAGUUUCCAUUCGUGCUGAUGGAUGGAUAGCUUCGUUGCAGUCGUCGGGAGAAAUAUCACCAAUGGUAGGUAGGCUGAGGCGGACGCUAAUACCAAGCGGUCAAUGUAGGAAACCAACCCCGCCUCGUGCCAUUCCCCAUCUUUGUAUUUGUGUUAGGCCCAACUCAAGGUAGAGGAGUAAGAGGAGGCCAGAAAGAAUGAAGCUAGAAGGCAGAAGGCAUUUGAUCUGAAGGCAUGGUUCACAGAAAGUUGUUGAAGUGAAAGAUGAAGAGGAAUUUGUGGAGGAGCUGAAGACAUGACGUGGAAGAAAGAAGAAAGCAAACCCUAAACAUUAUAAUGAUGGAGACUGUUUGAUAUCUUGUUGUUUCAAGAAAUUCUGAUUAAGCGCUCAACCCGUGACCGAGUACUGCCCUGCCUAGACACACGUCCAGGAUGCGGAAGAUGCGGCGCUUGCUGGAAAGCUGGUCAAGUAGGCCCCCACUUUGUGUUUUAGCAGAUUGAUCCUGCACAUCACACUAACUGCUAGAAAUAAGUGGACUCAGAACAAUUUGCAAUCAUCAGUUGGAUAUUUGAUGACUACAAUAUAUGAUGUUUUCUAUAUUGAGUUUGUAUAUUCGAUCUCACCACUGUUUAGCUUCCUUCUGAGAUCCAAUUUAUAUUUUUCAGUUUUCACACUAGAGUGAUUAUUUAUAUGUAUUACUGUAGAGACACGGGAAUCUAGAUUGUUCUUUCCCAUGAACCCUAAACUUCAGUUAAAUGUAUUCUCUGUAAUUAAAACAUCGUUGUCUUUUUCCUGGAUUGUACUAAUUUUCAGGUUUCGGUGUCUGAAUCUUCAAUACAAAACAGAGUCUGAAAGUAUAUGCCAUUUAGAGGAGUAAUUCCGCCAACAUAAACUUUUUCUUUUGUCCCUCAAAUAUUCCAGUUUUCUUCUACAGUUGAAUGUGUUGUUGGUAGCUUUCCUUCAUAGAGUUUUGAUAGCAACUACCAGAAUAUACCGUUAUAAAAUCCAUAACUAUUUAUAGCCACAAUAGUAAAUUCCACCAAGAGCUCAGGCGAGCAGACUAUCACCGGGUCACAUAUCCUCAUAUUUUCAUUGGAUAUUUCUCUCAAUUUAACUAAGAAGAAAACAUACAUCUGCUGAGUAUUUCAAUUGUGUAAAAUAAUAAGAUUAGUGGGAAGCUUAGAAAUUCUGCUUCUGUUGCCUUUGUGCAUUCAUGUCAUUUUGACACUUUCAUCAUGGAUAAUUUGUGCCCAUCUGUUUGGUGAAAUAAUGUGUUUUGAUGUACAAGUGACUAAAAAUGGUUAAUGCUUUUUGCUUGAGCAAUGAGAAGUCAAGAAGCUUACCGACAAGGAUCAAAAGAAAACAUCAGUCAUGCCUAAUUGUGAAGAAGAGUAAGCCAAUAGAGCUAUUUGGGUUGUAUAAGAAGAAUACCGACCAGUGCAGGUUGAGGCUAGACAAUUGUUGCUUA
This is a long non-coding RNA of Aegilops tauschii subsp. strangulata, 2313 nucleotides long. RefSeq lists it as uncharacterized. Lineage: Eukaryota; Viridiplantae; Streptophyta; Magnoliopsida; Poales; Poaceae. The record is from RefSeq and is a predicted model, not a curated record.